Molecule: non-coding RNA, 405 nt
Organism: Microcebus murinus (gray mouse lemur)
Lineage: Eukaryota; Metazoa; Chordata; Mammalia; Primates; Cheirogaleidae
Source: RefSeq, a predicted model, not a curated record
AUGGCCUUCAAGUCAGUGACAAUUCUGAGAGCAGCGAUUAACCAAAAGUUGAUAGAAACUGGAGAAAGAGAACGCCUCAAAGAGUUGCUGAGAGCUAAAUUAAUUGAAUGUGGCUGGAAAGAUCAAUUGAAGGCACACUGUAAAGAGGUAAUUAAAGAAAAAGGACUAGAACACGUUACUGUUGAUGACUUGGUGGCUGAAAUCACUCCAAAAGGCAGAGCCCUGGUACCUGACAGUGUAAAGAAGGAGCUCCUACAAAGAAUAAGAACAUUCCUUGCUCAGCAUGCCAGCCUUUAAGAUUGAAUUAGAUUGUGUUGUUCUGUGGUUUUAUUUCUGAAAGUAAAACUUGCCAUAAAUUAGAAAUCAAUUUCCCAAAAUAAAAUCCUUUUUUGUAUGAUGGUAAAA